CUCAGAUGUUUCUACCUUGAAGUAGUCUUUACACCAUUCCCGUAGGUUGCUGGGUGCUUCAUUUCCCCCCAUGUGAAACUUCUUGGAAAGAAGCUGAGUUGAAUGCUCUGGAGAGAAGACUGAGCCUAGACGUUAUGAAGCCCAAUGUUUGUGAAGAACAGCAGUUGAAUGUGGUGGAACUCCCACACCUGUGUGUGCAGGUGUUCACGCACGCUGUCAGAUCUGGAGACAGGACUGUGCCAGCCUCAGAGGAUAUGUGGGUUAUGAAAGAAGGAUCCGGAACUACACUGUGUACAGAUAAGUGUACAGCACGCAGCCCAUCUACAAGUGCUGCCCCGGUCGGAGCCGGUGGGAACAUGAACCUGGCUGCCCACGCUCUGUCUCUGCAAUGGGGACAUGUUUCAAUGGAAGGAGGUGCUCAGACAGUGAGGCCCAGUGGGGCCAGUGUUCAGAGGGUUUCCAAGGCCCCUGCUGUCAAUAUGGUCCUCUUUUCCAUCUUCUUACUCCUGUGGGUCUGUCCUGUUACCUUUCCAUGUGGACCUACAGCUCAUCCAUCUUCUGAAGACUGGGAAGAGCCCUUUGGACAAGGUUUAUCUGGGCUUGGCAGAGGGCACCACUCUAUGAACUUGAACGACAUGAAUCCUCUACUACCUUCUGCCUUCUCUGUUCCUGCAACCCAGCGAGUUCAGUGCCCAAGGGAAAAAUGCAUCAUGUGGGACCACAGCCUAUUUCUGAGAGAUGAGGACUCCCCAAAUGUCGAUGAAUGUGCGGUGGUGAAUGGAGGCUGCCAGCAGUGCUGUAUUCACACUCUGGGCACCUUCCACUGUGAAUGUGAUACGGGAUACAGACUCCAUGCUGAUGAACGCACCUGCAUAAAUGUAGGUGGUACCUGCCAGUGGGAUUCUUCCUAGCACCUCAGAGCUAGUGUAGAAGAAAUUCUUCAGAGGGGAUAUGAACCACAGAGGUUUUCUAAGCAGGGAUAUCCAAGAAACUGUUCAAAUGGAGAAGAAUGUCUGAUCUUAUAUGGUUGCAAUCCAGACAACAAAUUAAGGGCCUAUGCUGUCUAUGUCAUCUACUGGAAGGACAGGAACAUGGUCUGUGAGGACAGGAACAUGGUCUGAUUCACGGUUAUUCAUCAAGAGUCUACCACCACGGACCUACUGAGUGUCAUUUGAGAGGUGGGCCCCUGAACAGGUGGGAAUGGAUGUGCCCACAUCUGUCAGACUGAGAAUGGUGUGGCCAGGUGUGUCUGUCGCCCAGGGUACCAGCUGUCUGAAGACAAAAAGGCCUGUGGAGGUAGGAGGUUGAAACUGAUGGCUUAAUUGUGUAAUUGUUUGAAAUUUUGUGGUAAUCCAGUUUUGAAUAGUCAGAACAGCUAGGAGAAGGGUGUUUUCAUUUAUGCUUUAAAAAGAACAUUUAUAUUCUCAUUUGAUCAUUCUGAAAGGUAUUUUUGUGAAACUAUAAAAACAGUGAAAUGAUUAGUUACCAAAAAAUCAUCUAGUGUGAUUUCAGAAUUAAUGCCUUUUGUUUUCUGUUUCUCGUUAUGAAGUGAAUUCCGGAAUUAAUAUUCAAAAUCUUCCAUAACUACACAGGGAGUUUUUUAUUAUAGGCUACAGAAGGUGAGGGAUAACCUUUGAAACGCAAGUAUGUGCAAAUGAGUGUUCUCAGAAAUUAGAAAUAAUUAAAACCAAAAAGAAAGAAACUAUAAAUUCAAGGUUACAUAUUUGUUUCCUAGAAAUAGCAAAAGAGACAUACUUCAAUUCAAGGAUGAAAGGGACAAAUUACUCCAUAACCAGAACUAAUAAAUGAAAUCAUUCCUGUGGGACAGUCUUUGUUUUAUUAACUUCAGAGAAAUCACAGAAUCCUUCAUUUUUUUCAUGACAUUUCAUGAAAUAAGAAAGAGUUUAUUUGGAUUAAUUAUGAAAAUACCAAAAUAUUUCCUGACUUAUGGGAUGGAUAAAC
This is an RNA transcript of Ailuropoda melanoleuca (giant panda), 1962 nucleotides long. RefSeq lists it as uncharacterized. The record is from RefSeq and is a predicted model, not a curated record. Lineage: Eukaryota; Metazoa; Chordata; Mammalia; Carnivora; Ursidae. The transcript has 10 exons.